Equus caballus (horse) is the source of this 1911-nucleotide long non-coding RNA. NCBI's taxonomy places the organism in Eukaryota, Metazoa, Chordata, Mammalia, Perissodactyla, Equidae. The record is from Ensembl.
CACACACACACAUUUGUGUCUAUUUCUAUAUCUAUGCAAAUAUAUUAAAAGACAUGAGUUUACACCAAUAGUUUCUACUCCAUUUCAACACUACAGGGGCCGUUUUAGUCUUUACUUUCUCAAUAUUUAUGACCCCUUUCUCCAACUGUGAAAAAGCUUGCUCCCGUUAUCUGUUCACAUAUUUAUCUGCUUAUUUUCCUUGUAUGACAGCAACCUCUGGACCCCAACCCCUCUGCUCGGGCCCUGCAGAUCGCACAAACCUCAUCGACCUCCCAGGCCCUGACUGCCUCCUUUACUCCAGCCCCAGGGUCCUGCCACCCCAAGUUAAGGGAGAGAAAUUAAUAAAUCAUUUUUAAAGAAAAGAAAAAAGGGAAGACAAGAGGAAGAGGAACCACAGUUGCUAUGGUCUGAGUGUUUGUGUCCCCCACAAAUUCAUUUGUUGAAAUUCUAGUGCCCAAUGUGGUACUAAGAGGAGGGGCCUCUGGGAGGCAAUUAGGUCAUAAGGGUGGGGCCUCAUGAUGGGUUUAAUGUUCUUAUAAAAGAGACCCCCAGGCCCCCUCCCUCCUUCCACUAGGUGAGGACACAGUGAGAAGCUAUUGCCCAUGAACCAGGAAGCAGGCCUCCACCAGACACUGAAUCUGCCAGCACCAUCAUGUUGGACUUUUAGCCUCCAGAAUGGAUCUGGACUAUCUACCAGGAUUAGCAGAUCGAGCUUCAUGAUUGGAACACGACACCAGGAAGAGAAAGACGGUGGAGCCUCCAGGGGAGGCCCUGCUGCAGGCACUGUGGCCUGCGGGGGCUGAAGGCAAGUCAUGGCUUCCUCACCUUCAUUUCCUGACCUGGACUCACGUCAACCCCUGCAGCCUUCAUUCUUGGACUUGUACACAAACUCUUUCUUGCAUUAACCCCUGCUCGGUGUCGACUUCUUGUCUUGCUGCUGAGCUGACCUGGGGUUUUGCCCUGGCUGCUCCUAACUCUCCUUUUUACUUUGUUGACUAAGUUUUAGAUCAAGCCUUUAUCUCUACCAGCCUCCAAAACUAGCCUGUUUCUAGUUUGGGUUUCACUCACUUCCUGCCUGUCCUGUGAUAUUCUCGUUGCCAGAAUUAGAGAGAGUCUCCAUUUUUCUCUGUACUGAUAGCUUUUUCUUCUCAUGUCAUGGAAGGUAGUGGUAGGAGGGGAUAUUGGAGGAAAACACUCUGUUGUAGUUUCCUGGACUCAUUCUCCUUAGAACAAACCUCUUAGAUGAGCUUUAGUUGCUGGGAGAAUUGCCUUUCUUACCCCAUGAAGGUAUCACAAGUCUGCUAUACUUAUGUUUAAUUACAAAUGAGUGUUCAAUGGCUCUACUGUGAAAUGAACGAAGGUUAGAGGCAAGUCAAGUCAAGGAAUUCUAAAGGAAUACAUGAAUAAAACAAUGAAAAAACACUUUGUACUAAGCAUAAGAGCCUGGUGUCAGAACUCGAAACCCUGGGUCCUGAACCUGGCUCUGCCACUUGUUAGCUAUGGACCUUGGGCAAAUGUCCUCAUCUGGAAAAUGGAAAUAAUAGCAGUACUAACCUCAUAAGACUACUAUGAGUUUUAAACGAAUUAAUACGUAUAAAGUGCUUAGUUCCACACCCUGCAUAUAUUAAUUACUUAAUAAAUAUCAAUUAUCACCAUCAUUAUUAUUACAUAUAAGAUGAACAAGAAAAUAGAACUCAAAAGAUUUUUUAAAGUAAUGAGAAGGCUUUGGAAGAUUAAGAAGAGAAAAACAGCAAAGUAAAAUGGAAGAAGUAGAUGUAUUGCUAUUUGCUUUUUGAAAUUCACAAAUAACUUCCAAGAUGGAAAUUAUUUAAAGUAGUUUUCCUUGGCUCAGCGUAGAGCAGCUAUCACAUUCACUGAGCACCUCACUCUAUGGAGAUUAGAUUCACUGCC